GCAUGGUAAUGGGUUUAUGGCGGGCCCUUCCCUGUGGGCCUCUCAGGGAAGCCCAUGCCAGAGUAAACUGCAGCCUCCAACCAUUGCCCAGACUCCUUAUCUGCGGGCUGUGAGCACUGAAGGCAGUUGUACAGUG
This is a small nucleolar RNA of Artibeus jamaicensis (Jamaican fruit-eating bat), 136 nucleotides long. RefSeq annotates it as small nucleolar RNA SNORA42/SNORA80 family. The record is from RefSeq and is a predicted model, not a curated record. Lineage: Eukaryota; Metazoa; Chordata; Mammalia; Chiroptera; Phyllostomidae. The transcript has a single exon.